GAUGAAGAACGCAGCGAAAUGCGAUAAGUAAUGUGAAUUGCAGAAUUCAGUGAAUCAUCGAAUCUUUGAACGCGCAUUGCGCCCCCUGGUAUUCCGGGGGGCAUGCCUGUUCGAGCGUCAUUUCACCACUCAAGCCUCGCUUGGUAUUGGGCAACGCGGUCCGCCGCGUGCCUCAAAUCGACCGGCUGGGUCUUCUGUCCCCUAAGCGUUGUGGAAACUAUUCGCUAAAGGGUGUUCGGGAGGCUACGCCGUAAAACAACCCCAUUUCUAAGGUUGACCUCGGAUCAGGUAGGGAUACCCGCUGAACUUAAGCAUAUCAAUAAGCGGAGGA
Molecule: unclassified non-coding RNA, 331 nt
Filed under: soil metagenome
Description: partial contains 5.8S ribosomal RNA, internal transcribed spacer 2, and large subunit ribosomal RNA
Rfam family: 5.8S ribosomal RNA (bases 1-120)
Source: RNAcentral